CAGCAACGUAGCGGUCAUUAUUACACAAAAGGAAGUCACACUCAACCGUAUAUUCAGUAAAAGUGUCUAGUCUCCAAACCUCAAUUGAGUUAUAAAAAGCAAAUAGGUCUUUGUAUGCUCUGAAAAUUAACAUGAUUUUCUUGCAAUUUAGAACCAAUUUCUUUGCCAGUGAUCACCUUUAUUAACAGUCCUGAAGGUUCCUGCUUAGGACUUCCAGUGGUUAUAACCUGUGAAUCUAGCACAGGAUUUCAGCUGCAGUAUUCCUGGUACAAGAACAAUCAGACCGUGUCAAAUACCAAAAUUCUGGAGAUACAAUGUGGAUCACUUGUACAGAAUGAAGAGUAUAAAUGUGAAGCUGCUAACCAAUGGCAGAAAAGAAGUGUCCCUGUCAGAGUGGUGCUUUUAAAAUUCACUGAAGACACUUGUUCCUAUCAAGUGUUAACUGAAGAUGAGAAGCAAUACAAUUGUUCCUUCACCACCUCUGCUGCAACCACUGCUACAACUACUCACGUUGCAGUUACCUCGGAGACUACUACCCAGUGUUCAUCUGACUUUAUUUCAAGACUUUUCAGCAAUGAAUGGAAUCAUUGGCGAUGGAUUUUGUUUUUGGUGAUGACUUUUACUCUAUUACUGAUGUGUGUAGUCUUAAAAAGUAAAUUUGG
Bufo bufo (common toad) is the source of this 662-nucleotide long non-coding RNA. RefSeq lists it as uncharacterized. Lineage: Eukaryota; Metazoa; Chordata; Amphibia; Anura; Bufonidae. The transcript has 3 exons. The record is from RefSeq and is a predicted model, not a curated record.